This 405-nucleotide ribosomal RNA is filed under the name uncultured bacterium. RNAcentral describes it as "partial 16S ribosomal RNA". It matches the Rfam family "Bacterial small subunit ribosomal RNA", at positions 28 to 526 of the family's 1533-position model. The record is from RNAcentral.
GACGAACGCUGGCGGCGUGCUUAACACAUGCAAGUCGAGCGGAGCGGCGCACGGGUGAGUAACGCGUGAGUAACUUCCCCCCUCUCUGGGAUAACCGUUGGAAACGGCUGCUAAUACCGGAUAGUGGGGGAUGACUCGCGUCCUAUCAGCUUGUUGGUGGGGUAGUGGCCUACCAAGGCGACGCCGGGUAGCCGGCCUGAGGGGGCGACCGGCCAAAAUGGGCUGGGGUACCGCCCAAACUCCUACGGGAGGCAGCAGGGGGGAAUAUUGCAAAAUGGGGGAAACCCUGAUGCAGCAACGCCGCGUGCGGGAUGACGGGCUUCGGGUUGUAAACCGCUUUCAGCCAUGACGCGGUAGUGGCAGAAGAAGCACCGGCUAACUACGUGCCAGCAGCCGCGGUAAUUC